AGGUCCCUUUCCCCUACGCUGCUCUCUAAUAGGUCAUUCCCCAACUUACACUGAACCUGGGGUUGUUCUGCCCAGAUUCAAGACUCUACACUUGCCCUUGUUCUAUUUCAUUACAUUUUCCCGCCCAACUCUCCAGCCUGUCCAGGUCUCUGAUGGCAGCACAGCCUCUGGCGUGUCACCACUCCUCCCAGCUUGGUGUCACCAGCAAACUUGCUGACAGUCACUCUAUUCCCUCGGCCAAAUCACUGAUGAAUAUCUUGAACAAUCCCGGCCCCAGCACUGCCCCUGAGGCACUGCACUAGAUCCAGGCCUCAACUGGACUCUGCCCAUUGACCACGACUCUCUGGCUUCUUCCCUUCAGCCAGGUCACACUCCACCUCACUCCCCGCUCAUCCAGACCGCACUCCCUCAGUUCAGCGGUGAGGAUGCUGUGGGACACUGUGUCAAAUGUCUCACUCAGCAGCUUGCUUCUGUUUAAAAAUAUUAAAAUACAUUUUAAAAGCCACGAGGCUUCUGGCCAGUUUUCCAAAGGGCAUCACCACGGUUCCCCCAGCAUUAACCAAUACCUGCGCCCUGGCCAACUCCUGCGAUGAACUGACCAAUCUAAUCUGCUUUUUAGGGUUCGAGUGAAGCGCUGGAGGUUCACUUUUGAAAUGCAAAACCCAGGGAUCACAUCAGGACAGAGUCGUUGUCAGGAGCCCCAGCAGAGCCAGACUGGCACGAGCUUCUCUCCGACCGUCGGAUUUUGAUUACAGCCAAAGCUAAUAUCAGCGUUUAGAAUCUUUAAGAGCGAGGGUUGUAGAGUGGGAACCCCCAUCUCCGAGGGCUGCACCCCUCGUUUUGAGGAGGAGGCCACCACGGGUUGUCCUUGGCACAGAGACUCCUGCUGAUCAACCUGAACCCUGCUGAGCAACCCCAUCACAUUAUUCCAGUUAAGUGCAUUUUUACUGAUAUUAAGGGUUAAAUGUGUUGCGUGGUGGCUUUUCGGCGCUCUCUUGGUCUUCGUUGGCGUGUCCCAAUCAAGGGCUGUUCUCAUCCUUGCUCAGCAAGAAGAGGAAAAGGCAACUUGAAAGGACACUGACUUGUGCAAGGGAAGGAUUAAAACAUCAGGUGAUUACCAAAACCAAAUAUCCCGACACAACUGGAGAAAGACAAAGCUCCUCCUUGUUUCCCCCCAUUAUUCACAAUAACUUCUAUUUGGCUAAAAUACUCUUGAGAAAAGUGCUGUCUGGAGCUGGAGAGAUCAAGAAAUGCAGAUUUAUCGUGUCCCAUGAUGGUUGUUCCAUGUGGUUAAUCAAACACUCUGCAAAAAGGCACUUGAUUCUUAAUUUGCAGUUGUCUGGCUUUGGCUUUUGGGUGUCCAUUAGUACCUAUUUACUUCUUUGGUUUUCCCAAUCCAGAGAUAUGGAGUUGCAUUAAUUUUUGUCCUUCCUUUUGGUGCAGAGACCCGAAAAUAUUCCUUCUACCUUUAACUAUAUCUUUUUUCCAUCGCUGCCAGCUCUUUCAGCAUCGUUGCACCUGCAUCCUCAUCGUGAUAUCGUCGCAUCCUCAUCUUUUCCAUCUGAAACCUUCCAGGACGCAUUUUCCCACCGUGUAGGUAGCAACUCCCACUGCAACUUUCCACACAGCUCAGGGAAAAUAGGAUUUGUCUGAAUGUGUUUGGCUGGUUGAGAGAUUUCCAUCAUCCCGUGCCCAUCUGCCCUGCCCUCAAUGAUAACUCCCAUCCUGCCAACACUAAUAUCACCCGCAGAUUUUAUCAGCGGUGUCGCGUGGGCGUAUUUCAGGAUCUUUGAUUAAAGAGGUCGAUUAACUUUGCAAUAUUUCCCACCUAAAGAGAGAGAACAAAAUCAGAGUUGAUUCCAAAUUCUUGAGAUUCCAAAGCCCUGAGGAUGUUUCUUUAAAAGGAGCGAAGAUGCUGCAUGAAGAAAGUUGCUCCACUCCCUUCAGCAUCUUGGUGGCUGCACUGGACUCUCUCCAGCAGUUCCCUGUCCUGCUGGAACUGAGGGGCCACAACUGGACACAAGAUUCCAGGUGUGGUCUCCCCAGGGCAGAGCAGAGGGGCAGGAGAACCUCUCGGACCUACUGACCACCCCCUUCUAACCCACCCCAGGUACCAUUGGCUUCCUGGCCACAAGGGCCCAGUGCUGGCUCAUGGUCACCCUGCUGUCCCCAGGACCCCCAGGUCCCUUUUCACUGCUCUCCAACAGGUCAUUCCCCGACUGAUACUGGAACCUGGGGUUGUUCCUGCCCAGAUUCAAGACUCUACAUUUGCCCUUGUUCUAUUUCAUUACAUUUUCCCGCCCAACUCUCCAGCCUGUCCAGGUCUCUGAUGGCAGCACAGCCUCUGGCGUGUCACCACUCCUCCCAGCUUGGUGUCACCAGCAAACUUGCUGACAGUCACUCUAUUCCCUCGGCCAAAUCACUGAUGAAUAUCUUGAACAAUCCCGGCCCCAGCACUGCCCCUGAGGCACUGCACUAGAUCCAGGCCUCAACUGGACUCUGCCCAUUGACCACGACUCUCUGGCUUCUUCCCUUCAGCCAGGUCACACUCCACCUCACUCCCCGCUCAUCCAGACCGCACUCCCUCAGUUUAGCGAUGAGGUAUAUUCAAGGUAUAGCAACAGGUAUAUUCUCUCCCAUCGUGGUACCUAUGGGGUAGACGUAGCCGGGGAUGAGGAUGUUUUGCUUGUGAUGUUUCUUUUCUGUAGGGGGAUUUUUUGCCUGGGAAAAACACACCAGAGUAAGUGCUGCUCAGUGGGAAGUUCAACAGCCUUGUUGGUUUUGAGAACAUGUCAAAGGGCAAGAAUAGCCAAAUUCGGGCCGUAACACAAGUAUUAAUGCAAAAACCCUGGGAAGUUCAAGGGCGGGUAGAUCUGAGUUUCUGCCCUGGGUCUAUUCCUAAAUAUUUGAUUUAUAUUUAAUAUACAACCCCAACGAAACCAUUGUGGGGAGCGUGACUACUUAAAAUAUACAGCCUGAAUUUCACUUUGUUCUGUGCAAAUAAAUUAAAAAAGCAUUUGCAAUAUGACGUGUGCAGCAAAAAUACGGAGUGGAUAUAGAAUAGUGUUCUGCAGUGCUCAUGUUUUCCCCUUCACUUUUGGUUUGGUCUGUCUCGUCGGGGAUCCAAAUUACACCACUGGAACUGGUCUGGACCAUUUCUCAGAAGUAUUUCUUAAACGGGUGCCAACAGGUUAAAUAAAUUCACUUAUAAUUAUCAAUAAAACGACCUAUAUGGUGGAAAAAAAGGUGCAAUCUGAUAUUGUUUGAAGCUUUUAUGCAGUUCUUUUUUGAAAAUGGUGAAAAGACAAGAUCGUUCCUAUGGGAAACACAGUGGAUGGGAUGAACCGGAACUCUAUGCAAAGGGAAGGAUACAGAAAUUAUUUGGUUCCUUGUUCUAAGAAGAGAUUUUGCUGAUGUUCUGCUUGCUUUUCUUGGCUUGUAUAGAGUGGGUGAGGGAACUAUGGUGAAAUUAAGAGGUGGCAAAUUGAGAGUUCUUGAUCAAGAGGCUGAUGUUAUAAACCAAAGGUCAUACUUAAUCUGGAUAAGUUAGGACAAACUCACCUGAGCGUCUUCUCUCUGCCUUCGAGCAAUGUGUAGAGAGCAGGGUAGGCAAAGCCCAGCUCCAAGACACAAAUAUGGCCCAGAUUAUGGAGACAACAGCCCUCAGGGCAGAUCCUGGUCUUUGUUCAGAUGGUUCAGGAGCUACAAAUGCCAACACACCCUCCAACAGUGGUGGACGUUCCAGUUGGGUUGAGGGGCACCUGAAUCAUCGCAUUCCCGGUGUGGCUUCGGUUUAACCAUGCAACCUUUUGUUUGAGCCUGGCUUUCAAAGUCUAAAAACAGCGUUUCCCAGAUCGUAAAGCUAAAUUUGAUUUUGAUGAGGCUUAAAGAGCAAACGGGGUCCUGGCAGAUCCCACACAGCGGUGUAAUGUCAUUCCUCAACACCCUGCGCUCAACCUGCGGCUUUGGAGCACAGGUCCGAUGCGAAACAGGCUUAAAAGAUGCAUAGACGAGGUUCUUAGGGACACAGCUUAGUGACAGUGCUCGGGUAACGGUUGGACUCGAUGAUCUUGAGGGCCUUUUCCAAUCAAAAUGAUUCUGUGGGUCCAUGGUUCAUUUCAGUCCUGAGUGGUUUAGCCAAAGCCAAGUGGCCACCAAUGUUUAAGGCUUUGGCCAAACAAAAUAGUCAAGUAGUGGAGAGUGUGGCUCUUAACUCUCCCAAAUACAUCGUGUUAUUUCGUUGUGGUGCAGGUCUUUCAGUCCAAACAUCACAUGCUUGAAUACUUUGAGGCCUCCCAGAAUGCAGACACCGUGUCCGGUUUUGCAAGGUCAAAGCUCUUCUUCCACGCACCUUCCAGUUGGGUUUGAGCUGGGUUUGUGGGCCCAGAGCCUGACCCCUUUUGGGAACCAAACCAAAGGAGCAAAGACCUUUCAGAGACUGAUCCCAAAACCACGUUCCCGCGUCAAAACUGAUGUGGACCAACGGCCAAGCUCCGAUUUAUGGACACCGAUCAACCGUGGGUGCUCUGGUUGCCCCAAGGUGCUCAUCCUUGCCCACGACCCGCGUCGCUGCCGCACGGGUGGUUAAGCUCCCGCGGAGCAGCUGCUCAACAGCUGCACGUUACACUUCCCAUAUGAAAGAAACCCCAAAUCUGUGUGAAAUUUCCAGUGGUUUCACAGCUGUUGCCUGAGCCAGGCUGUCUGUGUCACGUCUACGGGGACAGCGGAGGGGAACGAGGCAGGACAGACAGCUGGCAGCAGAAGUUUCUCCAACCGCUUAGUUCUAAUCUGCUUUUUCUCACGUCAAAGCCCUUUGAGUGAAAAUUUGAGAACGGCGAAGCCUUUGGAUUUAUUUUCCUCCCUUCCUCCCACGAUUGCGGUGAAUCUGGUGCGAGCCAAACUCUGUCAUUAAGGGAUUUAUUUCUAGGGAGGCUUUUUGGUGGGAUUCGUCGCAACUUAUUUGAAAUAUCUCAGCAAGCCAGAUGCUCGUUCUUGUGAACGGAGACAAGUAGCAUCCAGGAAUGGUCUGUUCGGCUGAACUAAAUAUUGGAUUUAGAGAUAUUGCUUUCUGAAGACAGGGGUCUUAUCUGACUCUAAAGUUACUGUUUUAUGGCUGCAAGCGUGGGGGUGGAUCCCAGUAUGUGCUGGAUUUACUGGGAAGGUGUUUUGGUGAGGUGAGAAACUUCUGAAGGAGAAGUGCCACUAAAAAUAAUGACAUUAAUUGUGUGCUUUGAAAAAACACCACACAGAGCAAUUUGCCAAAGGAUCUGGGAGGUGUUUAAAAUAUGAAUAGGCUGUGGUGUGACCAACCGCCUGACCCUGUUUGCCUGUGGAAAGGGAGGGUUUAGUGCCCAGGAUGUCUCAGGGUAAAGCCUGGGUCACCAGAAGGGCUUCGUUUGCCACAGUCAAUAAUAAAGUGCAGGAUAAAAUCUGUGGUAUUCCCGGGAUUUAUUCUAAAAACACCUGGCACAAACAUUAGCUUUUAUUCCUUGAUGUUUUGCACUCUCUCUGCGUUUAUAAAAAGAAAACGACCCUUUAAUUCUUAAUCAAAACAAGUUCUUCAAUCUGUUUUUUUCAUGCAACUGAAAUUAUGCCAGGAAUCCCUAAUUUGCUCUUAAAUAUGAAUUCAGGGUAACCAAAAAGCGAUGUAAUUUUUAGCUCUUCAGGAAGAGCUGCUGUCAGCAGAUGUGAUGCUGCAGAGUUAAAGCCCACGAGGAGGUCGCGUCUUCCCCACGCUGCUCGGCUGUAUUUUGGCUGCUGUUUCCCUGUUUCAUUGCUUGCCAGAUGAGUCUCCUGUAGCGUAAUAUCAGUCUCUACAGGUAAAAACUACUUAAAGGAAUCACGUCUUGCUCCUGCGAGGAGACAGCGGACAGGUCAUUUCUUUCUCACUCUUAGAAUCACAGAACAGUUUGUGUUGAAGGGACCUUCCCAGCUCCCCCAGUGCCCCCCCUGCCAUGAGCAGGGACAUCUUCACCAGCUCAGGUUGCUCAGAGCCCCGUCCAGCCUGGCCUGGGAUGUCUCCAGGGAUGGUUCAUCCACCACCUCUCUGGCCAACCUGGGACAGGCUCUCACCACCCUCAGGGACAACAAUCUCUUGGUUGCUCUGGUUGAAAUUGUAACUUGAGACGUAGUUUGAGUACAAGAUCAAAGUGGCUUGGGGUAGCGUCUCAAAGAACUUUGGCCUUGCAGGGUGCCGUUCCCAUACCCCAACCCGUCCUACGCAUCUAAUGGCUCCACAGGAAUGGGACAUCAGGAAGAGAGAGAGAUGGACAGACAGAGAGAACUUCUUCAGGAGCUGAAAACACGAUUGUGAGACGCGGGAUUUGUGCCAAGGGGCUCUCGGUUUCGUGCGACACGGUCACACCAAGACCUCAGCUUGUCUUGGGAAGGGUCAUCGAGGCAACGGCAUCUGGAGCAGCUUCGUGAAGGUCCUGAACUGACUCCAUCCCUCUUCUGGGGCUUGGGGAUGAGAGAAGAGAUGGAUAAUGUUGCCAAAACAUCCUUUGGUUGGCCCAGGAAUAUGAUUUAUCUGCUCCAAAGCCAUGCAACGAUCUUGCCUUAAAAUGUCCUGCUGACUCACAGAGGAUUCCGAGGAAGUUACAGGGUAAAAAUGAAGGGUUAUAAGAUAAAGGAGGAAUUUAUAAAUCUUCCCAAGGUGGAAGGGCUGUGUGUCACAGCAGUGGUAGGACACAGUGACCCAUUUCUGACUCAUUCCUCACUGCUGAAGGCAACUUCUGGAGAAAUAAGACCCCCAGAGUAGACUUCAGACCUUCAAAAUGCUGACUUAUGGUGGUUUAUUUCCUUAUUUAAUUCCAAACUUGCAACAUCAGAGAAGAAAAGUAUGUGAUGUGGACACACCUCUUGUCUGAAAUUGGGUCAUCACAGUUACAGGUCAUAAUCCAGGAGAGGAUUAAGCUGGAUUUGUGUUGUCUUUUGGGAGAGCACAGGCUUGCCAAGGACCUCAAUAUGCCUUGGAGAAUGAUAUUGUGUGUACUUGACGUGGAGGGUGAUACCUGAGUAACAUUUCUUCAGCACUAAGAAAUAUCCUAUGAACGGGAAGGUGCCAAUCAACGUUAUGUAUUUCUGGGCUUCUUUCAGCAAAGAGAAGUCAUGGAUGGUACCUUGGAGAAAUCACCAUCUGCCAUCUCAGCUCCUCUUGCAAAGGAUGCGUUUUGGUCUAGACCUUUCAGGCCAUUGGUGUUGAGACCCAUAGACAACGUGUGGUAGUUUGUGGAGAAAAAAUAAUGGGACUUUCACAGGGUCCUACCUGAAAACUGCUCUUCACCUUCAAGCGGGCCGAAAUGAAUCAGGAGAGAGUGACAAUGGAGAGCAGAGAAUGGCUGAGAAGAUUAGGGAAGGAUUUCCUGUGGUGGGCCUGAUCCACCAUUCUGGUGGAACUGUAGAACCAUAGAAUCAUUUUGGUUGGAAAAGACCUUUAAGGUCAUCAAGUCCAACCAUAACCCAACCAUGACACUGCCCCAUGUCUAUAAGAACAUCAUCUCUGUGUAUUUUCAACCCCUCCAGGGAUGGUGACUUCACCACUGCCCUGGGCAGCCUGUUCCAAUGCCCGAUAACCCCUUCCAUGAAGAAAUUGUUCCCAAGAUCCAAUCUAAUCCUGGGAAAUUGCUAAAAAAUGCACCGUGGGUGGGAUUCAGGCCCAGACUGUCAGUGUCCAAAUGUAGAUACGCGCUGGUGUCUCCACGUGUGGUCAACGUGCAAGUUCCCAUCAACUUCCAGAGAUCGGUGUGGUCAAGCAUCUGGAAGAUGACCCAUGGCAUCUUGAGGCUCUCCAGCCUUCAUCACUUGCAUCGGUCGGAUCUCAGGUGACUCUUACACUGACACCUUUUGUUCUGCUUAUCGUUUUCCACCAAAAAUACACAAGACACUUGCUCUGCUUGUCCCGGGAACGCUUAUGGAGACUUCUCACCAAAGCUCCAUGAUGUUAAUAUACAAUAGUAGCUGUCCUGAUGAGUUUUACUACCAGGAGGGGUGUGAUUUUGUUAGGUCAAGGUAUUUUGGAGAACAUAUGUUCAUACUGACAUAUUCAUCUGAUCUUAAUUAAUAAGGACAGGGGAAAUAUGUCACCAGAUUCAGAGCUGUGUGUUACCUCACCCCUUGCAGUCCUGCACUGGAUGAAUGAUUUAUAACUUGAAACCUAAAGAAUUUGGAAACACAGUUGCGUUUUCUUCCCAUGGGAUUAAGGCUGACUCCAUUUGUUCUAGUUUUGCUAAAGCCUGAAACAAAGAUGGUUUUAGUUCAUUCCUGUCAAAUAUGAAUGAUGCUCUGACUUUGCAAAAAUGCAACAUACUUCUCAAAUGAGUGUCAUCCUGUUUCACCUUCUUCCCGGGAAAUUCGUGCGAGCAAAGAGAUCAAACCCUCGUUCUUCUCCGGAACAGAAAUUAUUCGUAUUUGCAUUAAUUUAAAGAGAGGUCAGUGUGCAUCCACACUUACUGUGGACUGAUUUAUGUUUAAAAAUCAGGUGGGAAGAAGAAGGUACUUCUUACACGUUGCUUUGGUAUGUUGGGGUCAUCUGUUUUCUGGAAGUGCUUCUCCCUUUCUACUGGCUGUAGAUGAGAUGCUUCCUACCAUAGAGUCACAGAAUCAUUUGGGUUGGAAAAGAACUCAAAGAUCAUCGAGUCCAACUGUUCCCCCACCCCUGGCACUAUCCCAUGUCCCUGAGAACCUCAUCUCUGUGUAUUUCCAACCCCUCCAGGGCUGGUGACUCCAGCACUGCCCUGGGCAGCCUGUUCCAAUGCCCAACAGCCCUUUGGGGAAGAAAUUGUUCCCCAAAUCCAACCUCAACCUCCCCUGGUGCAACUUGAGGCUGUUUCUUCUUGUCCCUGUCUGGUUGGACACAAGAGGGAAUCUUUUCACUGUGAGAACAAUCAGCCCUUGGAACAAUCUCCCUAGGGAAGCAGUAGAUUCCCAACAUUGGAUGCUUUUAAGAUUCGGCUGGGCCAGCUUGCCUAGGCUGUAGUUUUGCCAGAUGAUCCUUGUGGUCCCUUCCAACCUGGGAUUCUCUGUUUCUGUGGAGAACUUUCCAUCGGUGUCCUCUCCAGACCACAGCAUUGACACCAGAAGCUCCACACAUGGAGCUGAUGUGAUAUCUUGGUUUGGACCUCCUGGUCCUUUGUUGUCCAAGAGGAUGUGGUGAGGAGGGAGAAGGCAGCAAUGGAACCCACCAGCAAGUGGGCUGUCAGGAGACAAUCUCUUCAUCCUCCCUUCUUGGUGCUUGGACUGGUGCUUUCUCAUUAGUGUAUUUUAAUGUAGUUGUGCCUUCUGUGCACAGAAAGUGUUUUGGAUAGAAAAAGGACUUCUGGCUCCUUUUGGCCUUCAGAAAGUCCCUCUUUGGGGAUUUUGUGGGCUGGGGUGGGGAGGCUGGAUGGUUUGUUGGUUUGAAAUUCCCAGUGUGAGAUGAAACUUUAUUACAUAAGAAAAUUUUCCCUCACCAUCUUCAUCCGUGGGCACGUGGCUGGUGGACCAAAGGGAGGAAGGACGGAUGGACAUGGAGAACCAGGGGUGUGUGGGAGCAAUCCAGUCUCGUCACUGAUGUAUGGGCAUUGACUUCUUGAGACACCAGGAAGACUUCAGAGCCCCAAGUUGGGUUGAUUAGUCCAAAUUCCCUUGGGAUGAAUGACCCUGAGAAGUUCCUCCUUUCGUCUGUUAGCAAGACUGCUUGGACAGGGGGUUCAUCGCAGGGCGGAGUUGCCAACAACAGCAAAAUGAGAAGGAUUUUUCUUCGUUAGCAAAAUUACUGGCUGGGUGUUGAUAUGGUGAUGCUCUGGAAAGCAGGGGGAUGUCUUGGGCCAUGGUGGGAGAUGGAAAACAGCCAGGAAUGAGAAGGCCAUCAGGACAGCCUGUCUCAAAAAACACAGCUCAAUAUACUUUGGAGUUUUGGUUUUGUUUUGUGUUUUUUUAACAGUUUAACUUACUGUGGGUGAAACCACUCGUGGUUUCCUGUUUUCAUGAUUUGGCUCUUUUUUAAAAUGGUUUGGCAAGGAUGUUAUUUAGUAGCAGAAUCGAGUCUCUGGGCCCACUUGAACAGGUUUGACACCAUCACGCAGGAACCACGAGCACCUGGGGGUUCUGUCGAAGGGGUUUGCAUCCCAUUUGAAAAUAAGCUCUGUAUGGCAAAGGUGAUGGCAAAGAAAACCAGCGUGAGGCUCAUCUUGUCACAAAGUCGAGUCCAAUCUGUCUGCGUGUCUACUUUUGUUGUUAAUACCCGGUCUCCUUAAGCUGGAGACGUCGCUGAUUUAUGAUGCUGCGUAAAGCUCUGCGAACCGGAGUAGACAAAACAGGAAACGAAAGAGCUUUGCAAAUCUACAAAGUAUUAAGAAAUCACUAAGUGCUGGGGAGUCUUACAGGAUGGUGCUGCUUUCCCCAUGGGGAGGGGGAAUUAAAAUUAAAAAUAAGAAUUAAAAACCAUGCACUGGGCUGUAUCUCUGGCUGCUUUUCCCAAAGGGAGAAAUCAAUCUUGUGUUUGCCCCCCACCCCGGUCUUAAAUUAUACUGGGUAUCGAUACAACCAUGCAAAAUACGACGUGUAUUUGCGUCUCCUCUGGGUGGUGUUUCAGGAUGCUGAGAUUUCCUAGAAUCAGCGGUUAUCUGUGCGAGGGAGAGGGUGUUGCUCGUAACCGACCAUCUGUGCACACUUUGAAGGAGAUGAUAGGAAAAGCACAAUAUUGUGUGUCCUUGGCUCCCGAGUCGGUUUAGCAGCAGCGGUAUCUGCGUCCAGGAUUCAAGAGAAAUGCGAUUAUGGGAUAACAUAAGCAAAAAGUGGCGCUGAUCUUGGAGAAGAGCCUCAGCUCCGGUGCCGGAGAGCUGAAAAUACGGGUGGUUAAUGAAGUUUUACAUAUAAAAUAGUAUCUGUGCCUGCCCCGUGGGGUUCGGUGGGAUUUUCGGCGCUGUUCCAGGCUGAUGCUGGAUCCUGGAAAGACCAGGGAUAUGUUGGUCUCCUGCUCGCUUCUCCCCAUUGUCUGUCAAACCCUUCCUGAAACACCUUCUCGCGUUGCGGUGACAUCGCGAUGUGACCUUCUUCGCUAAACAUUUAGAGAGAAACUCGGCUUUUAGGUUCCUUUUAUUCACAAGGCAAAACUUCUCCCAUUUAUAGGCUCUGUAACGGAACCCUGGAGGUCAGUACCAUUAAGGGGGAUUUUGCCGUGUUUCCUGGGAAGUUUCUUCAUUUACAGCACAAGAUUUCUUUUAGGAAAGAGAGAUAUGUUCACGUUGUAUAAAACUUUGGGAAAUAUUCAUUUAAGUGCUGAUAGGGCCGCGUUAUACCAGUUCACAUUCUGCAGAUGACUGAUUAAUGGUGGUGGCGAGUUGGUGAAGGGUUUUUCCCCCCUUUUGAGAUGCAAAAUAACUUCCUGAGGUUGAGUAUCUGCCACACAUCCCGCAAGAAAUAAUUUUGCUUAAAGGUACCUCCAAAACAAGAGAAUUGAAUGCAAUAAUCAUGGUUAAGUGAGGAGACAAUCUCCCCAGGCUGUGGAUGAGAUGAUGGGAAAACAAGGUGGUUCCUUCCCAAUUCCUGGUCUGUAAAGGUUUUUAUGAACAACCAAGGCAGUUUCUUGUAGCAAGAUGCAGCUGAAGGCACUUGAGAAUACUUUUAUUUAUCUUUUCUACUGCUCAGCAACAGUAAACACUGUCUCUUUUUCACUACAAAUGGCUCGCCCGUGUUUAUAUCCGUCAUAACAUAUCCAUUUCUGGCCCAAACGUUUCUUGGAAAUAUCAUCUGCUUGAGCUGCCACAACAGGAUGGAAAGGACUUGGGGGAUAUAUCUGAAAGUUGAGCUGUGCUGCCUUCAAAACAUCAAACCGAGAUAGAAACAGCUCAUCUUUUGGGGGAUCACUAAAUAGAUUUUAUAUGUUUUCAGUGCUAUCCCAUUCUGUGUGUCUUUCUUUGCUUGUUCUUCCCCUCUUUGUAUGUACAUCAUGAGCUGGAUGUCAAUGUCCGCCUGGCUGAGAUGCUUAAUAAUUAACUGGUGGCACUUUUUGGAUGCGCAUCUCGAAGGAGAAGCUUUAUAGGUGUAUUUUCAGCUCUUUCUAAGCAGCUGAAAUGUCAAAGGCUCUUUGGCACUGACAGUAAGUGGCAAUAGGAACACCCCAGAGGUAGGAAGGAGAAAGGAAAUGUGGGUUUUGUUUCACCGAAAGGCAAAUUCGGGGAAAUGGAAGAACUGCGAUGAAAGAUUUGUCUGCAAAUUAAAACUCCAAAUAACUCCCCAGAACAAGCUCCCUUAAGAUCUCCCUCUCCCUCCAAAAUAUGGCAGGGGGCAUAUUCUUGGCUCUGCCCAUCAGUUUUCACAGAAUCCCAGGAUGUCAGGGGUUGGAAGGGCCCUGGCAAGCUCAUCCAGUGCAAUCCCCCCAUGGAGCAGGAACACCCAGAUGAGGUUACACAGGAAGGUGUCCAGGCGGGUUGGAAUGUCUGCACAGAAGGAGACUCCACAACCCCCUGGGCAGCCUGGGCCAGGCUCUGCCACCCUCACCAGGAACAAGUUUCUUCUCAAAUUUAAGUGGAACCUCCUGUGUUCCAGUUUGAACCCAUUACCCCUUGUCCUGUCACUGGUUGUCACCCAGAAGAGCCUGGCUCCAUCCUCCUGACACUCCCCCUUUAGAUAUCUGUAAACAUGAAUGAGUCCCCCCUCAGUGUCCUCUUGUCCAGCUCCAGAGCCCCAGCUCCCUCAGCCUUUCCUCACACGGGAGAUGCUCCACUCCCUCCAGCAUCUUGGUGGCUGCGCUGGACUCUCUCCAGCAGUUCCCUGUCCUGCUGGAACUGAGGGGCCACAGCUGGACACAAUAUUCCAGGUGUGGUCUCCCCAGGGCAGAGCAGAGGGGCAGGAGAACCUCUCGGACCUACUGACCACCCCCUUCUAACCCACCCCAGGUACCAUUGGCUUCCUGGCCACAAGGGCCCAGUGCUGGCUCAUGGUCACCCUGAGUUUUCCUGUAAUGUGCGUUAUUUUGACUUCUCGUAGGUACAAGGUACAGCACGCAGAUCACAGGGAUGACUGUCUGCAAACAGCUGAUAUUGGGACUAAAGCUGCUAAAAAUUGGAAGCAUGUCUGGUCUGCAGAUUCAGUAAUACAGCAGAUAUGACCUGCUGGAAAACACAGAGGACCCCAAGUUUGUGGUCACUUUUACUUAAUAAAAUAAAUCCCAAACUGAUAAGGGCAAAAAGCAAUAAAACCCUUCCUUGUGUGAAGCUGGUGAUGCUUCACUUGGUACGUGAUGCUCAAAGGUGAACUGGUGAGGUGACCAAUACAAGCACUGUGCUAAAACUGCUUCAGGAAUAUCCUGAAAAUGAAAUGCUCUGGAAAGAUUAAAUUCUUCUGAUAUUAAGUGUGUGUUUAGGGGGGGAAGUCAAUGAAAAACACAAACAGUAACGCAGAUAAAAGUGACUCCUUGGAGAGGAUGCAUCUGGUUCAUGGUGGACAACUCUAGUGGUCAUGGGGAGCAUCCCUCGCUAAGAAAAAGAAUAAACAUAAGAUAAAUUA
This is a long non-coding RNA of Columba livia (rock pigeon), 13488 nucleotides long. RefSeq lists it as uncharacterized. The transcript has 3 exons. The record is from RefSeq and is a predicted model, not a curated record. NCBI's taxonomy places the organism in Eukaryota, Metazoa, Chordata, Aves, Columbiformes, Columbidae.